This 253-nucleotide ribosomal RNA is filed under the name uncultured bacterium. RNAcentral's name for it is "partial 16S ribosomal RNA". It matches the Rfam family "Bacterial small subunit ribosomal RNA", at positions 524 to 776 of the family's 1533-position model. The record is from RNAcentral.
UACGUAGGGUGCAAGCGUUAAUCGGAAUUACUGGGCGUAAAGCGUGCGCAGGCGGUUCGCUAAGACAGAUGUGAAAUCCCCGGGCUUAACCUGGGAACUGCAUUUGUGACUGGCGGGCUAGAGUAUGGCAGAGGGGGGUAGAACGAUAGGUGGAGCGGUGGAAUGCGUAGAUAUCUAUCGGAAUGCCGAAAGUGAAGACAGCCCGCUGGGGCUUUCCUGACGCUGAGGCACGAAAGCGUGGGGAGCAAACGGG